GACGAACGCUGGCGGCGUGCUUAACACAUGCAAGUCGAACGGAAAGGCCCUGCUAUUGUGGGGUUCUCGAGUGGCGAACGGGUGAGUAACACGUGAGUAACCUGCCCUUGACUUUGGGAUAACUUCAGGAAACUGGGGCUAAUACCGGAUAGGAGCUCCUGCUGCAUGGUGGGGGUUGGAAAGUUUCGGCGGGUGGGGAUGGACUCGCGGCUUAUCAGCUUGUUGGUGGGGUAGUGGCUUACCAAGGCUUUGACGGGUAGCCGGCCUGAGAGGGUGACCGGCCACAAUGGGACUGAGAUACGGCCCAGACUCCUACGGGAGGCAGCAGUGGGGAAUAUUGCACAAUGGGCGGAAGCCUGAUGCAGCAACGCCGCGUGCGGGAUGACGGCCUUCGGGUUGUAAACCGCUUUCGCCUGUGACGAAGCGUGAGUGACGGUAAUGGGUAAAGAAGCACCGGCUAACUACGUG
Molecule: ribosomal RNA, 468 nt
Filed under: uncultured bacterium
Lineage: Bacteria
Description: partial 16S ribosomal RNA
Rfam family: Bacterial small subunit ribosomal RNA
Source: RNAcentral